GGUUUCCUACGGGAGGCAGCAGAGGGGAAAAUUGAAAAAUGGGGGAAACCCUGAUGCAGCAACGCCGCGUGAGUGAUGACGGCCUUCGGGUUGUAAAGCUCUGUCUUCAGGGACGAUAAUGACGGUACCUGAGGAGGAAGCCACGGCUAACUACGUGCCAGCAGCCGCGGUAAUACGUAGGUGGCGAGCGUUGUCCGGAUUUACUGGGCGUAAAGGGAGCGUAGGCGGACUUUUAAGUGAGAUGUGAAAACCUCGGGCUCAACUUGAGUGCUGCAUUUCAAACUGGAAGUCUAGAGUGCAGGAGG
Molecule: ribosomal RNA, 305 nt
Filed under: uncultured bacterium
Lineage: Bacteria
Description: bacterial SSU rRNA
Rfam family: Bacterial small subunit ribosomal RNA
Source: RNAcentral